Molecule: ribosomal RNA, 253 nt
Filed under: uncultured bacterium
Lineage: Bacteria
Description: partial 16S ribosomal RNA
Rfam family: Bacterial small subunit ribosomal RNA
Source: RNAcentral
UACGGGGGGUGCGAGCGUUGUCCGGAGUCACUGGGCGUAAAGGGUGCGUAGGUGGCGGGGUAAGUUUGAUGUGAAAUCUCCGGGCUUAACCCGGAAACUGCAUUGAAUACUAUUCUGCUCGAGGUUUGGAGGGGGGACUGGAAUUCUCGGUGUAGCAGUGAAAUGCGUAGAUAUCGAGAGGAACACCAGUGGCGAAGGCGAGUCCCUGGACAACACCUGACACUGAGGCACGAAAGCUAGGGGAGCAAACAGG